Molecule: transfer RNA, 73 nt
Rfam family: tRNA
About the family: Transfer RNA (tRNA) molecules are approximately 80 nucleotides in length. Their secondary structure includes four short double-helical elements and three loops (D, anti-codon, and T loops).
Source: Rfam
GCUUCUAUGGCUCAGUAGGCAGAGCAUGCGGCUGUUAACCGCAGGGUCGUUGGUUCGAUCCCAACUAGGAGCG